GAUGAACGCUGGCGGCGUGCCUAAUACAUGCAAGUCGAGCGAACAGAUGAGGAGCUUGCUCCUCUGACGUUAGCGACGGACGGGUGAGUAACACGUGGAUAACCUACCUAUAAGACUGGGAUAACUUCGGGAAACCGGAGCUAAUACCGGAUAAUAUAUUUAACCGCAUGGUUCAAUAGUGAAAGACGGUUAUGCUGUCACUUAGAGAUGGAUCCGCGCCGCAUUAGCUAUUUGGUAAGGUAACGGCUUAGCAAGGCGACGAUGCGUAGCCGACCUGAGAGGGUGAUAGGCGACCCUGGAACUGAGACACGGUCCAGACUCCUACGGGAGGCAGCAGUAGGGAAUCUUCCGCAGUGGGCGAAAGCCUGACGGAGCAACGCCGCGUGAGUGAUGAAGGUCUUCGGAUCGUAAAACUCUGUUAUUAGGGAAGAACAAAUGUGUAAGUAAAUAUGCACGUCUUGACGGUACCUAAUCAGGAAGCCACGGCUAACUACGUG
This 497-nucleotide ribosomal RNA is filed under the name uncultured bacterium. RNAcentral describes it as "partial 16S ribosomal RNA". It matches the Rfam family "Bacterial small subunit ribosomal RNA", at positions 28 to 507 of the family's 1533-position model. The record is from RNAcentral.